UAAGUUAAAUUAUGUUUACCUUUGAGCGAUAUGUAUGAUGACUAAUGGUGAGAUUGUUGUUGUAUAUUUAUUUAUAUGUAACUUACUAAGCUUUAUGCUUACCCUCUUUCCUUUCCCUCUUCUUUCAGUGUUAUCAAACUAACUUAAAGAUCCCUUAAAGUCAGAGAUAUCGAUCACACUAUCGGCCGCAAUAUCCAGUAUAGUUGGAUUUAUAUUUUUUAUGGUAGCAUGUAUAGGGCUAGACUAGGAUGUUGUAUUAAGAGAAUGAUUCAUGUAUUUUGGCUUAAGUCAAAGGCCCUUCAUUUUGUAAUCAAGCCUGGAAUAAUGGCUAUUAUUCAUUUUGAUAAAUGCAUAUAAUGUUCUUUCUAUGGAUGAAUUAGUGCCCAUUGUGAUGAGACUUAUAUAUUGAAAUGAUCUUGUGUAGGUUGUGCAAAAUGGGUGACAAAAGGGCUUGGGAAAUAGCCUAGUUUGUCCACAUGGGUAAGACACACGGGCGUGUGUCUAGGCCGUGUGUGACACACAGUUCACACCCAUGGGUGUGUGUUAUGGCCGUGUGUUCCCUGCACUUAAAUAUUUAUAGUCAUUAUAGCACACGGGUAGGCACACGGGCGUUUGCCCAGGCCUUUUCAUAAAGUCAGUAUGCAUGCUUGUAGUACACGGAUAAAAGAUACGACCGUGUGUAUCGACCGUGUGAAGGACGCGAUUAUAGGGCACGGUUGUGUUCAUGGAUCGUGUGGUUUUGGCAGAAUGCUUAUGAUUUCAGACACGGGUUCGAGACACGGGUGUGUCCCUGGCAUACAGUCGUGUGUUCUAUGCCCACACGGGCGUGUGGAGUCUUGAUGCACAAAAUUUUCUAAGUUUUCACGAGGUCUCGAUUAGGUUUCAAACAACCCUGGAUUUAUGAUUGGGCCUCGUAAGCCUAUAUACAAGAUAGUUGCUUGUGAAAAGAGAAGUUUUUAAAUUGUUUAAAAUUUCACGGCCCAGUUUUACACAGUUGGUUGAGUUUAAGUUAGGUAGCACCAUGAACCCUAUCCUAGCGUCGGAUACGGGUGAGGGCUGUUACAUUUGGUGGUAUUAGAGCAUGGUUUAGUCAAUUUUAGGACUAAACUAGCUAGAGUACAAGUCUAGCUAUACAUGCCACGUAUAUGCAUAUUAAUAGUGUGAUGAUUCUUGAUAAUUAUAAAUUGUUUUUAUUAUAGUAAUGGAUCCUAAUAGAACCAUGACAGAUGACGUGGAAAGUAAUGUGUCGGCUCCUGCAAAAGGAACCGUGCCGAUUGAGAGUGAGCCCGUAAGUAUGGGCUAAGGCGGAGGGGCUAGGGAAGCCUACCUCCUAAUAAUGGAUGCUUGGUAUAUGGAGUUUGUUCGUGCGAACCCAAAAACUCCACCUUCCCCACCUCCUCUGAUUCCUCAAUAUUCCUCGAUAGCUCCACAAGGUGCGGAUGUGUUCAGACGAGAGAAGCCUCCGGUAGACAAGAUCCGGAAGCAAGGGGCCAAGGAAUUUUGGGCUAGUGUAAAUGAUGACCCAGAGAGAGUAGAGUUUUGGCUAGAGAAUACCAUGAGGGUAUUCGAUGAACUGUCAUUCACACCUGAAGAGUGCGUGAAGUGUGCCGUGUCACUUUUUUGAGACUCGGCUUAUCAGUGGUGGAACACUCUCUUGUCUUUAAUACCGAAAGAAAGAGUAACUUGGGAAUUCUUCCAAGAAGUACAUUAGCCAAAGGUUUAUGGACCAGAAAAGAAAGGAAUUUCUAGAGUUGAAGCAAUGUAAUAAGACUGUGACAGAGUAUGAGUGGGAGUUUCUGAAACUCAGCAAGUAUGCGCGGGAGUGCGUAUCCACUAAAGCUACCAUGUGUAAGAGGUUUGAGGAUGGCCUCAAUAAAUACAUUCGAGUAUUUGUGGGCAUCUUGGAGUUAAGAGAAUUUGUAGUGCUCAUUGAGAGAGUGUGCAAAGCAGAAGAGCUAGUGAAAGAGAGGAGGAAAGCAACCAGCGAGUCGCGAGAUUUAAAGAAAAGACAGAUGGGGAGGGCAUAUCAGUCCUCCUCCAAGAGAUCAAAAGAAUUUACUACCCGAUCGAAUACUUCGGUGGGGUACUCGAAGAGAAAUAAGAAUCAAAAGAACAUGGCGUCUAAAGCCCAAACUACUUCAGUUGCAAGUGUUUGUAGUGCUCGGCCAAAUAGGCCAGAGUGUUUGCAAUGUGCAAGACGUCACUUGGGCGAAUGCCGAGUAAAUGAGAGUGGCUGUUUCAAGUAUGGGUCACUUGACCACUUUAUCCGCGAGGGUCUUGAGAUGGACGAGAGAGAGAGAAAACAAGAUGCGAAAGCAAGAAGUGCUCCCUUUACGGGUAGGCCUCAAAGGAACCCUGGGAGUGGGAUUGGUAGUAGAGGUGCGCCGAGAGAUACUGGGAUGAGGUCUGAAGGUAAAGCACCAGCGAGGACCUAUGCUAUACGAGCCUGGGAAGAGGUAGAGUCUCCAGACGUGAUUAUGGGUACCUUUUCUAUUCAUGACAUAACUGUUUUCGCUUUAAUUGACCCAGGAUCUACCCAUUCUUAAAUGUGUAUUGAUUUGAUACCUCGUAUAGACAUGCUUAUAGAGUCCACUGAGUUUGUUAUGAAAGUGUCUAACUCGUUAGGCAAGCAUGUAUUAGUGGACCAAAUAUGUAAAAAUUGUCCUUUGGCGAUUAGAGGCUAUUGUUUUCAGGUCAACUUGAUGUUUUUGUCGUUUAACGAAUUCGAUGUAAUUCUUGGGAUGGAUUGGCUGACCUCCCAUGGCAUUGUAGUAGACUGUGGGAGAAAAGUAAUUCAGUUAAGAUGUGAGAAUGGUAAAGUUCUUCGAGUUGGGCCAGAUAAGUCAGAUAACCGCCUGUGGUAAUAUCGUCUUUGACCGCUGAAAAAUAUUUGAGAAGAGGUUAUGAAGCUUAUUUAGCUUUUGUACUGAAUACCCAAGUGUCCAAAUCGAAGAUUGAGUCAGUACCAGUGGUUUAUGAGUUUAUAGAUGUCUUUUCGGAGGAGUUACCAGGGUUACCCCCAAAGAUAGAGGUUGAGUUUGGUAUCGAGUUGGCUCCUGGUACGAUGCCAAUCUCGAUUACACAAUAUAGGAUGGCCCCCACUGAGUUAAAGGAGUUGAAAGUACAGUUGCAAGAGUUAACAGAUAAAGGUUUUGCUGGACCGAGUUAUUCACCAUGGGGUGCUCUAGUACUUUUUGUGAAAAAGAAAGACGGAACGAUGAGGUUAUGUAUCGACUACAGACAGCUUAACAAGGUGACAGUGAAGAAUAAGUAUCCCUUACCGAGGAUUGAUGAUCUCUUCAAUCAAUUGAGAGGGGCCACUGUAUUCUCUAAGAUAGACUUGAGAUCAAGUUACUACCAGUUAAGGGUUAAGGAGCAAGACGUGCCGAAAACUGCUUUUCGGACAAGAUAUGGGCAUUACGAGUUUCUUGUUAUGCCUUUUGGAUUAACGAAUGCCCCGGCAGUGUUUAUGGAUUUGAUGAACCGCAUCUUCCAGCCGUACUUGGAUAAGUUUGUUGUCAUUUUUGUCGACGCCAUAUUGAUUUAUUCGAGUGAUGAGAGUGAGCAUGCGGAACUAUUGAGAACUGUGUUACAGACUUUGAGGGAUAAACAACUCUAUGCUAAGUAUAGUAAGAGUGAAUUUUGGCUUAAGGAAGUUGGAUUUCUAGGACACAUAGUGUCGGGAGACGGGAUCAGAGUUGAUCCAAAUAAGAUCUCAGCUAUUGUAGAAUGGAAACCGCCAAGGAAUGUGACAGAGGUCCACAGUUUUCUGGGGCUAGCAGGAUACUGUAGACGAUUUGUAAAUGGAUUCUUCAUGAUAGCUACACCGAUAAUGAGGCUAUUGCAGAAAGAUGUCAAGUUCGAAUGGACAGAAGAGUACCAACAAAGCUUCAAGAGAUUAAAGGCUUUGUUGACUGAAGCCCCAAUUUUAGUGCAUCCUAAGUCAGGCAAGGAAUUUGUAGUUUUUAGUGAUGCCUCCCUAAAUGGUUUAGGGUGUGUGCUAAUGUAAGAAGGCAAGGUUAUAGUCUAUGCCUCAAGGCAGCUAAAACUUCAUGAGAAGAAUUACCCGACCCAUGAUUUAGAGCUAGCAGCUAUGGUGUUUGCACUAACGAUUUGGCGACAUCAUUUAUAUGGUGAGAGAUGCCGAGUAUUUACUGAUCACAAGAGUUUAAAGUAUCUAAUGACUCAGAAAGAAUUGAAUUUCAGGCAACGACGGUGGUUAGAGCUAAUAAAAGAUUAUUAGUUGAUUAUCGACUAUCAUCCGGGAAAGGCGAAUGUAGUCAUCGACGCUUUGAGCAGAAAGUUGUUGGUUGCUUUGAGAGCUUUGAACGCUCAGUUGACCGUAUCUAAUAAUGGUUCGAUCUUAGCAGAGUUGAGAGCCAGACCGAAUUUUCUUCAUGAAAUCUGAGAAGCUCAGAAAAAUGAUGAAAAGUUACAAGCCAGGAAAAAUUAGUGUGAGUCAGAUGUUGAAUCAGAUUUUUAGAUUGGUACCGACGGAUGUUUAAUGUUCAAAAAUAGAAUUUGUGUUCCUAAAGAUAGGGAGCUCGUUCAGAAGAUUUUACGAGAAGCACAUAGUGGUAGUUUGUCCGUCCACCCGGGUAGCGUAAAAAUGUAUAACAACCUAAAGAAAAUGUAUUGGUGGUCGGGAAUGAAAAGGGAUAUUUCAAAGUUUGUUUCCAAGUGUUUAGUAUGUUAGCAAGUAAAGGCUUAACACCAAGUACCUUCUGGGCUAUUUCAGCCUAUUAUAGUUCCAAAGUGGAAAUGGGAUCGUAUCACUAUGGAUUUCGUAACCAGUUUGCCAUUAACCGCGAAAAAGAAAAAUAUUGUAUGGGUUAUUGUCGACAGAUUAACUAAGUCAGCCCACUUCAUACCAGUGUGUACCGACUACUCUUUUGAAAAAUUAGCUGACUUGUAUGUUUUUGAGAUUGUGAGGCUACAUGGUGUACCAUUGUCGAUUGUUUCAGAUCGCAACCCAAGAUUCACCUCAAGGUUUUGGAAAAAGUUACAAGAGGAUCUAGGAACCAAGUUAAGUUUUAGUACGGCUUUUCACCUAUAGAUUGACAGACAAUCGGAAAGGGUAAUACAGAUCUUAGAGGACGUGCUAAGAUGUUGCGUCCUUGAAUUUCAAGGAAGUUGGGAAAAAUACUUACCAUUGGUUGAAUUCGCCUACAACAACAGCUAUCAGUUGAUUCUAAAAAUGGCACUUUAUAAGGCCUUGUACGGGCGAAAGUGCCGAACGCCCUUGUAUUGGAUAGAGUUGAGAGAGAGUCAGAUUCACGGGGUUGAUUUGGUCAAAGAGGCUGAGGAAAAAGUUAAACUGAUUCGGGAAUGCCUAAGAGCUGCUUCGGAUAGGCAGAAACCCUACGCGGAUUUGAAGCGAAAGGACAUCAAGUUUGAGGUCGGUGAUAAAGUAUUCUUGAAAGUUUCUCCUUGGAGGAAAAUCCUCAGAUUUGGUAGAAAAGGCAAGUUAAACCCUCGUUUCAUAGGACCUUAUGAAAUUACCGAGAGAGUAGGGCCUAUGGCCUACAGAUUGAAAUUGCCGCCAGAGUUAGAAAAGAUUCACGACGUGCUUCACGUGUCUAUGUUACGUCGAUACAGAUCUGACCCUUCACAUGUAAUUGCGCCUAUUGAAGUUGAAAUCCUUCCAGAUAUGACUUAUGGUGAAGAACCGGUCAAGAUCUUAGCUCGAGAGGCUAAAUAAUUAAGAAAUAAGGAUAUACCACUUGUGAAAGUUUCGUGGCAUAGACAUGGAGUCAAGAAAGCCACAUGGGAACUCGAGGAGUCUCUGAGAGAACAGUAUCCGAAUUUAUUCACUGGUAAGAUUUUCGAGGACGAAAAUCCCUAAGGGGGGAGAAAUGUAACAGCCCAAUUUAGGGCCUAGUCAGAAUAGUGGUCUCGGGACCACAAAUUUGAAGUUAGAAAAAAAAUUAUUCUAUUAUUUUUAUGAGGUUAUAGUAUGAUUUUAUUAGUGUAUGAAAAAUUUGGUGAGCUAAUUUUAAUGUUUCCUAGCCCAAUUUCGAAAAAGGACUAAAUCGCAUAAAAGGCAAAAAUUGCAUUUUAGUACCCAAAUGAGUUAAAUAGCUAAAAAACCUUAAAUUGAGGGCUUUUAAAGGGCAAGUACACCCUUUUUAUUAGUGUUGGCUGGCCAUGUGAUGGGUUUUAAGCAAUUAGUCAAAGUAUUAGGUGGAUGAUGUCAUUAUUUGGUGAUAAAAUAAUGCCUAAAAGCCUAGCUAUCAUUUCUUUCUUCUCCAUCUCUCUUCUCCACCAAAAAUAUCAGAAUAAAUGGAGUUUUGAAGGCUGAAAAUUUUCAGCAACUAAAAUCCCUCAUAAGUAAGUGAUUCCCGCACCCUUUGUUGAUGAUUUUUGCAUUUUCGAGGCCCUUGAAACAUGAGUUUUCAAAUGAGGGUGAUAUCUUGCAAAAUGGUCAAGAGUUUAGAGUGUUUACAUGAAAUUAUUUGAGAUUUUUAUUGAGUUUUUAUGGAGGAAUAUGAGUCCUAGUUGUGUUAUAAACAACUUUUGUAAAAGGUGUUAGCAUGAAAACUCCUAAAGGGGCUAUUUUGCAUAAGUUGUAAAAUAGUUAAUAAGUAUGUGAAAUAGUGAUAAUUUGAAGUUGCUAUAAUAGUAAAAAAAGUUCGAUUAGGCCUAAGAUACAACGAAAUUCGAUGAAAAUCGAUUUUCAGGCAUAGGGGUAAAAUAGUCAUUUUGCCAAAGUCUAGGGGCAAAAUGGUCAUUUUACCAAAGUUGUAAAUUUAUGAUUGCUUAUCAUUAUAGAUCAAGAAUUACCAAAUCCGAACCUAGAUCGGGGGAAGGCCAAGCAAACCGACUAAACUGAAUAGCCAAGUACUUUUUAUAAACCGAGGUAAGCUGUAUGUAAAUGAUACAACUACACUGUUAAUACUGGAAUUCAUAUCACCAUUGAAUUGAUAUUUUAUGAGUUUUCAAGUUAUGAAUUGAGAAUGUCUAGUAAUAUUUGAGAUAAUGGAAACAUCCAGUUGAAACAUUAGAAUACGAACUGGAUAUUCGUGCCAAGGCAUUCGGUGAUUUGUGCACCAGUGUAAGACAUGUCUGGGACAUACUUCGGCCACAUUAUGAGAGCCAAUGUAAGACCAUGUCUAGGACAUGGUAUCAGCACAGAGAUGAGUGCCAGUGUAAGACAUGUCUGGGACAUGCAUCGGCUAAGAGUUGUGCUAGUGUAAGACAUGUCUGGGACAUGCAUCAGCACGCGUAUAUGAGAGCUAGUGUAAGACCAUGUCUGGGACAUGGCAUCGGCAAUAUAUCCCAUGUUGAAGGUUCAUAGAAUAUUUAGUAGUAUUCCAAAUGUUUCAAUGAUGAGAGUUAUAGAUCAAGUUUGAUAAAGAAAGAAUAAUCAUGUGUGAGUGGUACAUGUACCUAUAUGGUAAGCAUGAGUAACAAGCUUAAUUUAGAGAAUGUGACUCGAGUAGAUGAGAAUGAGUAAGUUCAAUUACGCCUACCUUUGAGCGAUAAGUAUGAUGACUAAUGGUGAGAUUGUUGUUGUAUAUUUAUUUAUAUGCAACUUACUAAGCUUUAUGCUUACCCUCUUUCCUUUCCCUCUUCUUUCAGUGUUAUCAAGCUAACUUAAAGAUCCCUUAAAGUCAAAGAUAUCGAUCACACUAUCGGCCGCAAUACCCGGUAUAGUUGGAUUUAUAUUUUUGAUGGUG
RNAcentral lists this long non-coding RNA (7679 nucleotides) under Gossypium barbadense (sea-island cotton). Its description in RNAcentral is "long non-coding RNA (GBAR_LNC005229)". The record is from RNAcentral. Lineage: Eukaryota; Viridiplantae; Streptophyta; Magnoliopsida; Malvales; Malvaceae.